This 500-nucleotide ribosomal RNA is filed under the name Staphylococcus aureus. RNAcentral's name for it is "partial 23S ribosomal RNA". It matches the Rfam family "Bacterial large subunit ribosomal RNA", at positions 1603 to 2104 of the family's 2925-position model. The record is from RNAcentral. Lineage: Bacteria; Bacillati; Bacillota; Bacilli; Caryophanales; Staphylococcaceae.
CACUGCCGAGAAAAGCCUCUAGAUAGAAAAUAGGUGCCCGUACCGCAAACCGACACAGGUAGUCAAGAUGAGAAUUCUAAGGUGAGCGAGCGAACUCUCGUUAAGGAACUCGGCAAAAUGACCCCGUAACUUCGGGAGAAGGGGUGCUCUUUAGGGUUAACGCCCAGAAGAGCCGCAGUGAAUAGGCCCAAGCGACUGUUUAUCAAAAACACAGGUCUCUGCUAAACCGUAAGGUGAUGUAUAGGGGCUGACGCCUGCCCGGUGCUGGAAGGUUAAGAGGAGUGGUUAGCUUCUGCGAAGCUACGAAUCGAAGCCCCAGUAAACGGCGGCCGUAACUAUAACGGUCCUAAGGUAGCGAAAUUCCUUGUCGGGUAAGUUCCGACCCGCACGAAAGGCGUAACGAUUUGGGCACUGUCUCAACGAGAGACUCGGUGAAAUCAUAGUACCUGUGAAGAUGCAGGUUACCCGCGACAGGACGGAAAGACCCCGUGGAGCUUUAC